GUGAGGAAUAUUGCGCAAUGGGGGCAACCCUGACGCAGCGACGCCGCGUGGAUGAUGAAGGCCUUUGGGUCGUAAAAUCCUGUCAGAUGGAAAGAAAUGUAUAUGUGCUAAUAUCGCAUAUAUUUGACGGUACCAUCAAAGGAAGCACCGGCUAACUCCGUGCCAGCAGCCGCGGUAAUACGGAGGGUGCAAGCGUUGUUCGGAAUUACUGGGCGUAAAGCGCGCGUAGGCGGUUUGCUAAGUCAGAUGUGAAAGCCCUCGGCUUAACCGGGGACGUGCAUUUGAAACUGGCAGACUUGAGUACUGGAGGGGGUGGUGGAAUUCCCGGUGUAGAGGUGAAAUUCGUAGAUAUCGGGAGGAAUACCGGUGGCGAAGGCGACCACCUGGCCAGAUACUGACGCUGAGGUGCGAAAGCGUGGGGAGCAAACAGGAUUAGAAACCCCUGUAGUCC
Molecule: ribosomal RNA, 451 nt
Filed under: uncultured bacterium
Lineage: Bacteria
Description: bacterial SSU rRNA
Rfam family: Bacterial small subunit ribosomal RNA
Source: RNAcentral